This 253-nucleotide ribosomal RNA is filed under the name uncultured bacterium. RNAcentral's name for it is "partial 16S ribosomal RNA". It matches the Rfam family "Bacterial small subunit ribosomal RNA", at positions 524 to 776 of the family's 1533-position model. The record is from RNAcentral.
UACGUAGGGGGCAAGCGUUGUCCGGAUUUAUUGGGCGUAAAGAGCGUGUAGGCGGCCACACAGGUCUGCUGUGAAAACUCGAGGCUCAACCUCGAGCUGUCGGUGGAAACCGUGUGGCUAGAGUCCGGAAGAGGAGAGUGGAAUUCCCGGUGUAGCGGUGAAAUGCGCAGAUAUCAGGAAGAACACCUAUGGCGAAGGCAGCCCUCUGGGACGGUACUGACGCUGAGACGCGAAAGCGUGGGGAGCGAACAGG